UAAAUGAAAGCCAAAAAGAGGCACCUAGUUGUUAGUUAGGAGAUUGUAGUAAAUGUCUACUCAUUUAG
This 68-nucleotide transfer RNA is filed under the name Conus galeao. Its description in RNAcentral is "Conus damottai galeao tRNA-Asn". The record is from RNAcentral. Lineage: Eukaryota; Metazoa; Mollusca; Gastropoda; Neogastropoda; Conidae.